UGGGGAAGGGCUACGGGCCCGCCAUGCAGGUCCGGUGGCUGCAAGAAUCCAGUAAGGACGGGUCCGUGGCCAAGCCGGCCAGCAAGCGGCCGCUCUCCUCCCCCGAUAUGAAAUCUGCUCCAAAGAAGCCCAAGGCCGACGGGCAGUGAAGGAGGCGCCGCCCCCACCUUGGCACCGGCCCCCCGCACCCCUCGCUCGCCAAGGAAAGCACAUUUCAUUGGGGCCUGGGGGGUCACUGAACUGUGUUCCCCCCCGACCCUUGGCUGCGGGGGGGGCAGGCACCCCGGAGUCUGGUUUGCCGGGGGGGCGUUGGGAUUUUUUACAUGUUGCAGUUGCUGGAAUGAAGUUCUUGUGCCCCCCUGCUGUCGUGGAGGGGGCUGCAGGUUGGGGGGCGCCCCUCCCCCCAGCUCUCACCGCUGUACAGACCCCCCCGUCUCCCCUGUAGUGUCUGAGUCGUAGAGGAAAGGGGGGGCUGUAGCUGUUGUGAAUAGCAGGUCCCCCCACAGGUGUUGGGGGGGGGGGCCCUAGCUUGACCCUCCCACCCCUGAAUCGGUGCCGCUGUUUCCUGCCUCAUGGCAGGGGGGCUCCUGUCUCCUGCCCCCCCUCGGAAAAAAAACUUUUUGUAUAAACCAUUUUUUUUU
Molecule: non-coding RNA, 641 nt
Organism: Chelonoidis abingdonii (Abingdon island giant tortoise)
Lineage: Eukaryota; Metazoa; Chordata; Testudines; Testudinidae
Source: RefSeq, a predicted model, not a curated record